This 450-nucleotide ribosomal RNA is filed under the name uncultured bacterium. Its description in RNAcentral is "partial 16S ribosomal RNA". It matches the Rfam family "Bacterial small subunit ribosomal RNA", at positions 354 to 796 of the family's 1533-position model. The record is from RNAcentral.
GUCGAGAAUAAUUCACAAUGGGGGAAACCCUGAUGGUGCAACGCCGCGUGGAGGAUGAAGGUCUUCGGAUUGUAAACUCCUGUCAUCUGGGAGUAAGACCUGACGGUGAAUAGCCGGCAGGGUUGAUAGUACCAGAAGAGGAAGGGACGGCUAACUUCGUGCCAGCAGCCGCGGUAAUACGAAGGUCCCAAGCGUUGUUCGGAAUCACUGGGCGUAAAGGGAGCGUAGGCGGCGUGGUACGUCAGAUGUGAAAUCCCGGGGCUCAACCCCGGACCUGCAUCCGAUACUGCCAUGCUUGAGGGUUGGAGAGGUAGCUGGAAUUCUCGGUGUAGCAGUGAAUUGCGUGGAUAUCGAGAGGAACACUCGUGGCGAAGGCGAGCUACUGGACAACAUCUGACGCUGAGGCUCGAAGGCCAGGGGAGCAAAAGGGAUUAGAUACCCGGGUAGUCC